This is an RNA transcript of Syngnathoides biaculeatus (alligator pipefish), 2323 nucleotides long. It is a transcript of the gene named arrestin domain-containing protein 2-like, with no coding region annotated. The record is from RefSeq and is a predicted model, not a curated record. Lineage: Eukaryota; Metazoa; Chordata; Actinopteri; Syngnathiformes; Syngnathidae. The transcript is spliced from 6 exons.
GCAGGAAGCUAAUGGAAGUUUACCGGAGAGUUCCAGGACGCGGGUGUCUUUUGUUUUAUUUCAGAGGCAAGCUGUGACUCCUCCCUUCACAAAAUUUUCCAUUGUUAAGUCGCCACGUGGAAAAUAACCUGGUCCCUUUCAUCUGCGAGCGGAUUCCAUUGCACGUAACGUUUGUUGGUAGCUCGAGUUUAAUUCCCGAGCAGUGCAACAGCCGCAUAUCGUCUCGACUUUGCGAAAGGAAACAGCGACAGAGGAAGAGACACUGUGAAAUUUUGGAAGAAACUGCACAUCAAAGGAGACAUUUUAUGUUAUCAAAGAAGACAAAUGGCUCCCAAUAUGAAGCAACCAAUGAAUUUAGAACGAACGGCCGAAGCUGACUUUACAUCGUACCCGAAGGAAGGCAUGAAAAUUGCUCUACUUACGGAACCCCGGUAUGCUUGGAAACAGACGCGUGUCAAAGUCUUUGGUUCCGGAUCGGUGAGAAUGGAUCUUUUCACCGACAAGCUGGCCUACAAACCAGGUGAGGGACUCCAAGUCCGAGUUAAAGUCAACAACCAAUCAGCUCGUGCAGUGACGCCCAAGUACAUAUUGUACCGAACGCAAAGUCGGAUUUUCCCGGGCGGGAGGACUACCGGCUCGUUUCCGAUCCUCGAGAGAAACGGCAAACCUGUUCAGGUCCACCGCAAGGAGACCACGACCACCGUGAUCCCCAUCCCAAGAGGGAUACCGCCCACCAUCUCGAUUGAGUCACCCAUUGAAAUUCAGUACAACUUGAAGAACGACGUCGGAGCACGUGAACAGCGUCACAGAUCAGUGGAUGAUGCGGUCAGUGUGACGCUGACGUUAUCUUGGAACACAUCAACGGGGCGGGGAGUUCCACCAGGAUCCUGCUCGUGGCCUCUAACAUUCCACGCAAUCAUCCCAAAAACUCUUCUUCCCCUGGCCUCUUGACGGGCUGCACGCAGCAAGUGCGAGACAGGACAAUACCACCUGACCCGCGUGUUCGUGAUGAUGAGUCUGCACGUCGAUGCCGUGUCGAGCGGACGGGUAGCAAAACCUGGAGCUGAACGCGUUCAGAAAUGUAACCUUGCAAGUUCCUCCAAAGCGCAACCUCUCAGGAUCUGAAAUGGAAGUCAAGUCAGGAAUGAGGAAAUGUGAGGUUGUUCAAACCUGUUCAACAAAAUGGGGUCUGUCUGAAUACGAGCGGCUCAAGCGUCACAUACUUCACGCUGCCGAUACUCGUCCUACCCGACAGUAUACAUUCUGCCAAACGACAACAACAAUUGUUAGAAGCUUUGACUUUGGAAGUUGCUGUACAUCCAAAUCCAAAGCAGCAAAUCCCGAAGGCAGGAAAACGAUCACAAAAAGCCCGAUCCAUGGACAUCCCUCCUCAUUACUAAGAUCAUCCAAAUUGCUUUUUGUCGCUUACCUUCUGCACGGGAUUGACAUAAUGGCAGGAUAUUGCACCCAAGGAUAUCGUAAAAAAAGCUGUGUCAAAGUUGCUCACACGUGGCAAUUGUUGGUCGCUGAUUCAAUUCAGUGUGUAUACAAACAAAUACACUGUGACACAAUAGCUGUAUAUAGAUAUAUGUACUAUAGUUCUAUAUUUAUGUUUGUAUUUUAAUACUGAAUGUUGAUACAUUUUUAUUUUUGAGUUGUCAUUUUAAUGAGACCUAUAUCAGGCGCAUUGUUUGCUUUAAAGAAGUAAAUGAACCAACUGACUAAAAAAUUGGUUGGGGGGGCUGAUGGUUGUUUAUCUGUAAGGUAUUUUAGUUAAAAAAAUAUGUAUGGGGGGGGGGGCAACUUAGCAUUGACAAUGACCCCAGCACAUUGUUGAGGCCAGUGUGCACAACCUAAAGCAGUGUUUCUCAAAAUGUGGUACUAGUAGCAUUACCAGUAUGUGGAUGAAUUACUGCCUAAGUACAGUUCAACUUUUAAGUGGAAUAUUUGGUCAUUUCAUCUUAAUAAUCAUUUUUUAACCUCUAUUUAUGUACAUUUUUAUUUAACUUUUAACUUUCACGCAAUACAUUUGACUUGAAGCAUUAUUUAAGAGCAGCUUUUUAUUUUUCUAAAUUUACCCGUGGUAUACAGUUUUUAGGAAUAAUACCCGGGUGUUUUUCUUUUUUGUCUGUUUGUUUUUGUGUUCUGCUCUACUGUAUUUGAAUAUUAGUCAUGAUGGUGGAAAUUGGAGAGCGACAUAUUGUUUAAAGUGGUACUUUGUGGGGGAAAAAAAAAAGUUUUAUGACCAGUGCGUUGACAAAUGGCACAUACAGCUGCAUAAUGUGUUGGACAACCUGAAAUAAAUACAAUUUGAAUAUCCAUA